Molecule: ribosomal RNA, 2332 nt
Filed under: Escherichia coli
Lineage: Bacteria; Pseudomonadati; Pseudomonadota; Gammaproteobacteria; Enterobacterales; Enterobacteriaceae
Description: partial 23S ribosomal RNA
Rfam family: Bacterial large subunit ribosomal RNA
Source: RNAcentral
AGAACCUGAAACCGUGUACGUACAAGCAGUGGGAGCACGCUUAGGCGUGUGACUGCGUACCUUUUGUAUAAUGGGUCAGCGACUUAUAUUCUGUAGCAAGGUUAACCGAAUAGGGGAGCCGAAGGGAAACCGAGUCUUAACUGGGCGUUAAGUUGCAGGGUAUAGACCCGAAACCCGGUGAUCUAGCCAUGGGCAGGUUGAAGGUUGGGUAACACUAACUGGAGGACCGAACCGACUAAUGUUGAAAAAUUAGCGGAUGACUUGUGGCUGGGGGUGAAAGGCCAAUCAAACCGGGAGAUAGCUGGUUCUCCCCGAAAGCUAUUUAGGUAGCGCCUCGUGAAUUCAUCUCCGGGGGUAGAGCACUGUUUCGGCAAGGGGGUCAUCCCGACUUACCAACCCGAUGCAAACUGCGAAUACCGGAGAAUGUUAUCACGGGAGACACACGGCGGGUGCUAACGUCCGUCGUGAAGAGGGAAACAACCCAGACCGCCAGCUAAGGUCCCAAAGUCAUGGUUAAGUGGGAAACGAUGUGGGAAGGCCCAGACAGCCAGGAUGUUGGCUUAGAAGCAGCCAUCAUUUAAAGAAAGCGUAAUAGCUCACUGGUCGAGUCGGCCUGCGCGGAAGAUGUAACGGGGCUAAACCAUGCACCGAAGCUGCGGCAGCGACGCUUAUGCGUUGUUGGGUAGGGGAGCGUUCUGUAAGCCUGCGAAGGUGUGCUGUGAGGCAUGCUGGAGGUAUCAGAAGUGCGAAUGCUGACAUAAGUAACGAUAAAGCGGGUGAAAAGCCCGCUCGCCGGAAGACCAAGGGUUCCUGUCCAACGUUAAUCGGGGCAGGGUGAGUCGACCCCUAAGGCGAGGCCGAAAGGCGUAGUCGAUGGGAAACAGGUUAAUAUUCCUGUACUUGGUGUUACUGCGAAGGGGGGACGGAGAAGGCUAUGUUGGCCGGGCGACGGUUGUCCCGGUUUAAGCGUGUAGGCUGGUUUUCCAGGCAAAUCCGGAAAAUCAAGGCUGAGGCGUGAUGACGAGGCACUACGGUGCUGAAGCAACAAAUGCCAUGCUUCCAGGAAAAGCCUCUAAGCAUCAGGUAACAUCAAAUCGUACCCCAAACCGACACAGGUGGUCAGGUAGAGAAUACCAAGGCGCUUGAGAGAACUCGGGUGAAGGAACUAGGCAAAAUGGUGCCGUAACUUCGGGAGAAGGCACGCUGAUAUGUAGGUGAAGCGACUUGCUCGUGGAGCUGAAAUCAGUCGAAGAUACCAGCUGGCUGCAACUGUUUAUUAAAAACACAGCACUGUGCAAACACGAAAGUGGACGUAUACGGUGUGACGCCUGCCCGGUGCCGGAAGGUUAAUUGAUGGGGUCAGCGCAAGCGAAGCUCUUGAUCGAAGCCCCGGUAAACGGCGGCCGUAACUAUAACGGUCCUAAGGUAGCGAAAUUCCUUGUCGGGUAAGUUCCGACCUGCACGAAUGGCGUAAUGAUGGCCAGGCUGUCUCCACCCGAGACUCAGUGAAAUUGAACUCGCUGUGAAGAUGCAGUGUACCCGCGGCAAGACGGAAAGACCCCGUGAACCUUUACUAUAGCUUGACACUGAACAUUGAGCCUUGAUGUGUAGGAUAGGUGGGAGGCUUUGAAGUGUGGACGCCAGUCUGCAUGGAGCCGACCUUGAAAUACCACCCUUUAAUGUUUGAUGUUCUAACGUUGACCCGUAAUCCGGGUUGCGGACAGUGUCUGGUGGGUAGUUUGACUGGGGCGGUCUCCUCCUAAAGAGUAACGGAGGAGCACGAAGGUUGGCUAAUCCUGGUCGGACAUCAGGAGGUUAGUGCAAUGGCAUAAGCCAGCUUGACUGCGAGCGUGACGGCGCGAGCAGGUGCGAAAGCAGGUCAUAGUGAUCCGGUGGUUCUGAAUGGAAGGGCCAUCGCUCAACGGAUAAAAGGUACUCCGGGGAUAACAGGCUGAUACCGCCCAAGAGUUCAUAUCGACGGCGGUGUUUGGCACCUCGAUGUCGGCUCAUCACAUCCUGGGGCUGAAGUAGGUCCCAAGGGUAUGGCUGUUCGCCAUUUAAAGUGGUACGCGAGCUGGGUUUAGAACGUCGUGAGACAGUUCGGUCCCUAUCUGCCGUGGGCGCUGGAGAACUGAGGGGGGCUGCUCCUAGUACGAGAGGACCGGAGUGGACGCAUCACUGGUGUUCGGGUUGUCAUGCCAAUGGCACUGCCCGGUAGCUAAAUGCGGAAGAGAUAAGUGCUGAAAGCAUCUAAGCACGAAACUUGCCCCGAGAUGAGUUCUCCCUGACUCCUUGAGAGUCCUGAAGGAACGUUGAAGACGACGACGUUGAU